This 648-nucleotide long non-coding RNA is filed under the name Rattus norvegicus (Norway rat). RNAcentral's name for it is "long non-coding RNA NONRATT008637". Lineage: Eukaryota; Metazoa; Chordata; Mammalia; Rodentia; Muridae. The record is from RNAcentral.
GAGGCACCAAGCAGAGGUACCAAAGGUUAGUCCCUGGCCUCUGAGGAGAUAGAAGCUACCUUGGGAAGGGGAAGGCCAUGGCACGUUUGUCCAGAAGGUCUCAGUUACUUGUUCCCAAGUCAAGGCCAAAAUGCCACAAAAGGAGCCGGUCUGCGAAGACCCUUAAGGAAAAGUCAGGAACCAUUGCUGUUUCUGGGAGUGGGGUCCUUUCAUUCUGGCUGUCCCUGUUGCAUAAGUACAGCACUCCUGCCCACCCCAUUCCUGUCCUCUUGUUUCCUCAGCCCAGUGCAGGGCUUUAAACGUGCAAAGGCUUUCCAUUCCUCUGAAGUAAUGUGGGAGGUUAAGACAAGGUUCUAAGAAGAUCCCUGAGCCGUUUUUAUACCAUCAGUGCCCGUUCCAUUUCGGUGAGCACACAUACCUCAGUGCCUCCCUUCCGUGCUGGCCACCUCUCCAGCUCUGUCAGGGCCAUCAGAGAGCUGCAGAGGAUCCAUUCCCUUCAUCCCUUCAGUAACAGACACCGAGGAAGGAAUCCAUGCUCACAGGACAGAGAGUGGUCUCGUGGCUAACAGUGAGCUAAGUGAAAAAGAAAAAGAAAGUGACGUGCUAUGUGUGUGUGUACAUACAUAGUAAAUAAAUGCUUUGGUGCCG